AAAUCUUAACUGUUAUUCUCUUGUAUAAGCUCAUUAAUGGGUAUGAGCGUCUCGACCAGGCAACCGUAAAUUGCCCCAGGCUACAAGAGGCUGCAUAAAUUGG
This 103-nucleotide non-coding RNA is filed under the name Paenibacillus sp. RNAcentral describes it as "Guanine sequence". It matches the Rfam family "Purine riboswitch aptamer". From Rfam's summary of the family: Riboswitches are metabolite binding domains within certain messenger RNAs that serve as precision sensors for their corresponding targets. Allosteric rearrangement of mRNA structure is mediated by ligand binding, and this results in modulation of gene expression. The record is from RNAcentral. RNAcentral also lists the same sequence under 1 other name. Lineage: Bacteria; Bacillati; Bacillota; Bacilli; Caryophanales; Paenibacillaceae.